Schizosaccharomyces cryophilus OY26 is the source of this 73-nucleotide non-coding RNA. The record is from the annotation of a RefSeq genome assembly. Lineage: Eukaryota; Fungi; Ascomycota; Schizosaccharomycetes; Schizosaccharomycetales; Schizosaccharomycetaceae.
GGGUAUGUAGCGUAAUGGUUAACGCGUUGGUUUUCGGCACCAAAGAUUGCAGGUUCGAGUCCUGUCAUACUCG